GAGUUUGAUCAUGGCUCAGGACGAACGCUGGCGGCGUGCUUAACACAUGCAAGUCGAACGAUGAAGCCCUUCGGGUGGAUUAGUGGCGAACGGGUGAGUAACACGUGGGCAAUCUGCCCUGCACUCUGGGACAAGCCCUGGAAACGGGGUCUAAUACCGGAUACUGAUCGCCUUGGGCAUCCUUGGUGAUCGAAAGCUCCGGCGGUGCAGGAUGAGCCCGCGGCCUAUCAGCUUGUUGGUGAGGUAAUGGCUCACCAAGGCGACGACGGGUAGCCGGCCUGAGAGGGCGACCGGCCACACUGGGACUGAGACACGGCCCAGACUCCUACGGGAGGCAGCAGUGGGGAAUAUUGCACAAUGGGCG
RNAcentral lists this ribosomal RNA (364 nucleotides) under uncultured Actinomycetes bacterium. RNAcentral describes it as "bacterial SSU rRNA". It matches the Rfam family "Bacterial small subunit ribosomal RNA", at positions 9 to 377 of the family's 1533-position model. The record is from RNAcentral. Lineage: Bacteria; Bacillati; Actinomycetota; Actinomycetes.